UAAUUGCAUCUAAGCCCUGUUCUUUGGAACCCUAAUCUCGUGCCUCAUGACCUUCUGCUUCCCGUUGUUCAACUCAGAUUCCUGUUCUGACAUUGCCACUGGCUGCUAGCCGCAAAAGAUCCAUUCUUAUAGAGUUGGUAUAAAAGAAAGGUGUCUGCUGGUAGAACGACAACCGGUUUCAGGUGUAUCACAUGGAUCAUUAGUGUCUGCAGUAUCUGUUCUUCCAGUUGAACUUAUCACUACCAAGCCUCAGCUCUGCGCAUGAUCCUUGUUGCUGAUAUAAAGGUCACAAGGAGGCAUUUAAAUUCUUGACAUCUUAGAUUAGCUGAGGUGAAUAAUUAAGAUGACGUAAGGUCACUGUUUUUCCUCCAGGGCUUCAUUUUUUGCCAUUUGAUGACAUGUCUAUAGAGUUCACUGUUUCCUUCUUAUUCCAUUAAUAUUCUGUAUCAAGAAGAGAUAGAGGAUACUAAAUCUUGUAUUUGUUAGUCCUAUGUCAAUCUUUAUUUGUUAGCAAUGAUCAUGGAUGGGAUCAAAUAAAGAACAGCAAUGAUGACACUUAUCA
Musa acuminata subsp. malaccensis (wild Malaysian banana) is the source of this 562-nucleotide long non-coding RNA. RefSeq lists it as uncharacterized. The record is from RefSeq and is a predicted model, not a curated record. Lineage: Eukaryota; Viridiplantae; Streptophyta; Magnoliopsida; Zingiberales; Musaceae.